Molecule: ribosomal RNA, 450 nt
Filed under: uncultured organism
Description: partial 16S ribosomal RNA
Rfam family: Bacterial small subunit ribosomal RNA
Source: RNAcentral
UACACUCCUACGGGAGGCAGCAGUGGGGAAUAUUGGACAAUGGGCGCAAGCCUGAUCCAGCCAUGCCGCGUGAGUGAUGAAGGCCCUAGGGUUGUAAAGCUCUUUCACCGGAGAAGAUAAUGACGGUAUCCGGAGAAGAAGCCCCGGCUAACUUCGUGCCAGCAGCCGCGGUAAUACGAAGGGGGCUAGCGUUGUUCGGAAUUACUGGGCGUAAAGCGCACGUAGGCGGAUCGAUCAGUCAGGGGUGAAAUCCCAGGGCUCAACCCUGGAACUGCCUUUGAUACUGUCGAUCUGGAGUAUGGAAGAGGUGAGUGGAAUUCCGAGUGUAGAGGUGAAAUUCGUAGAUAUUCGGAGGAACACCAGUGGCGAAGGCGGCUCACUGGUCCAUUACUGACGCUGAGGUGCGAAAGCGUGGGGAGCAAACAGGAUUAGAAACCCCAGUAGUCCCAU